Molecule: ribosomal RNA, 497 nt
Filed under: uncultured bacterium
Lineage: Bacteria
Description: partial 16S ribosomal RNA
Rfam family: Bacterial small subunit ribosomal RNA
Source: RNAcentral
GAUGAACGCUGGCGGCGUGCCUAAUACAUGCAAGUCGAGCGAACGGACGAGGAGCUUGCUCCUCUGAUGUUAGCGGCGGACGGGUGAGUAACACGUGGAUAACCUACCUAUAAGACUGGGAUAACUUCGGGAAACCGGAGCUAAUACCGGAUAAUAUAUUGAACCGCAUGGUUCAAUAGUGAAAGACGGUCUUGCUGUCACUUAUAGAUGGAUCCGCGCUGCAUUAGCUAGUUGGUAAGGUAACGGCUUACCAAGGCAACGAUGCGUAGCCGACCUGAGAGGGUGAUCGGCCACACUGGAACUGAGACACGGUCCAGACUCCUACGGGAGGCAGCAGUAGGGAAUCUUCCGCAAUGGGCGAAAGCUUGACGGAGCAACGCCGCGUGAGUGAUGAAGGUCUUCGGAUCGUAAAACUCUGUUAUUAGGGAAGAACAAAUGUGUAAGUAACUAUGCACGUCUUGACGGUACCUAAUCAGAAAGCCACGGCUAACUACGUG